Molecule: transfer RNA, 62 nt
Filed under: Dolophilodes bellatulus
Lineage: Eukaryota; Metazoa; Arthropoda; Insecta; Trichoptera; Philopotamidae
Description: tRNA-Gly
Source: RNAcentral
AUUUAUAUAAUAUAUUUAGUAUAUUUGACUUCCAAUCAAAAAGUUUAUUUUUAAUAUAAAUA